Molecule: long non-coding RNA, 517 nt
Filed under: Mytilus galloprovincialis (Mediterranean mussel)
Lineage: Eukaryota; Metazoa; Mollusca; Bivalvia; Mytilida; Mytilidae
Source: RNAcentral
GCUUUUGCUAGAAAAAUUAUAAAAACUUUAGAAUUAUUUACUAUUACCUUCAAAUUAAUGCACGUUUCGAACAUACUUUUUUAGUUUCACUAGCGACAAUUGGGGGUUUCAUAAAAAACAAGAGCGAUGAGUCAUAAGAUCGACAUUUAUAAAAGCUAAAUUUAAAAAAAAAUCGUAUUCGAUUAAGAAACUAAACAUGUUGUUCUGUUUUCUCAGGGGAAAAGAUGAAAUUAAAAUAAAAGUUUAAUGAGUAUUUUUAUAUAUAAAGUCAAAUAUUAAUGGACGAUUAAUGGACGAUUACUAUAAGACUUCUGUAUUACCGACUAAGAUGCUUUGUAUAGUUUCUGCCGUGUAGAAAUCCUGUUAAGAGCAGUGCAUGGCAUUUUAGCGGACGUUUUUAAUUGUUUGUGUUUUUGGUUGUGUUUUCUGUAUUUGCAUUGAUAGUUGUUUUAUAUCCAUACAAUGUUCUAUUACAUCUGUAAAAUAUGGUUAGUUAAAUACAACUGUAUUCUCCGAC